Molecule: ribosomal RNA, 368 nt
Filed under: uncultured organism
Description: bacterial LSU rRNA
Rfam family: Bacterial large subunit ribosomal RNA
Source: RNAcentral
CUUUACUAUAGCUUCGCCUUGGCGUUAGCAUCAACAUGUGUAGGAUAGGUGGGAGGCUUUGAAGCAGGGGCGCCAGUCCUUGUGGAGCCAACCUUGAAAUACCACCCUUAUUGUUGCUGACGUCUAACCGAGGUCCGUCUAUCCGGAUCCGGGACAUGGCGUGGUGGGUAGUUUGACUGGGGCGGUCGCCUCCCAAAGUGUAACGGAGGCGCGCGAUGGUGAGCUCAGAGCGGUCGGAAAUCGCUCGUCGAGUGCAAUGGCAUAAGCUCGCCUGACUGCGAGACUGACAAGUCGAGCAGAGACGAAAGUCGGCCAUAGUGAUCCGGUGGUCCCGCGUGGAAGGGCCAUCGCUCAACGGAUAAAAGGUA